GCCACAUUAUCUCAGGGGCAAGAGCGUCUGUCUUGUAGACAGAAGGUCGCUGGUUCGAUUCCAGUAUGUGGCA
Non-coding RNA from Parelaphostrongylus tenuis, 73 nucleotides. Lineage: Eukaryota; Metazoa; Nematoda; Chromadorea; Rhabditida; Metastrongylidae. The record is from the annotation of a GenBank genome assembly.